GACGGACGCUGGCGGCGUGCCUAAUACAUGCAAGUAGAACGCACAGUUUAUACCGUAGCUUGCUACACCAUAGACUGUGAGUUGCGAACGGGUGAGUAACGCGUAGGUAACCUGCCUGGUAGCGGGGGCUCACUAUUGGACACGAUAGCUAAUACCGCCUAAUAUUAAUUAUUUCAUGCUAAUUAAUUAAAAGGUUCAAUUGCACCACUACCAGAUGGACCUGCGUUGUAUUAGCUAGUAGGUGAGGUAACGGCUCACCUAGGCGAAGAUACAUAGCCGACCGGGGAGGGAGAGCGGACACACCGAGACUGGGACACGGCCAAGGCCCCUACGGGAGGGAGCAGUAGGGAAUCUUAGGAAAUGGAAGAAAGUCUGACCGAGAAACGGCGAGGGAGUGAAGAAGGUUUUCGGAUCGUAAAGCUCAGUUGGAAGAGAAGAACGGGUGUGAGAGUGGAAAGUUCACAGUGUGACGGUAUCUUAACAGAAAGGGACGGCUAACUACGUG
This 505-nucleotide ribosomal RNA is filed under the name uncultured bacterium. RNAcentral describes it as "partial 16S ribosomal RNA". It matches the Rfam family "Bacterial small subunit ribosomal RNA", at positions 28 to 507 of the family's 1533-position model. The record is from RNAcentral.